This 441-nucleotide ribosomal RNA is filed under the name uncultured bacterium. RNAcentral's name for it is "partial 16S ribosomal RNA". It matches the Rfam family "Bacterial small subunit ribosomal RNA", at positions 338 to 795 of the family's 1533-position model. The record is from RNAcentral.
CCUACGGGGGGCAGCAGUGGGGAAUAUUGCACAAUGGGGGGAACCCUGAUGCAGCGACGCCGCGUGGGUGAAGGAGUAUUUCGGUAUGUAAAGCCCUAUCAGCAGGGAAGAACAAUGACGGUACCUGACUAAGAAGCACCGGCUAAAUACGUGCCAGCAGCCGCGGUAAUACGGAUGGUGCAAGCGUUAUCCGGAUUUACUGGGUGUAAAGGGAGCGCAGGCGGCGCGUUAAGCCUGGUGUGAAAGCCAGCGGCCCAACCGCGGGACUGCAUUGGGAACUGGCGCGCUUGAGUGCCGGAGGGGUAGGCGGAAUUCCUAGUGUAGCGGUGAAAUGCGUAGAUAUUAGGAGGAACACCAGUGGCGAAGGCGGCCUACUGGACGGUGACUGACGCUGAGGCUCGAAAGCGUGGGUAGCAAACAGGAUUAGAUACCCUUGUAGUC